UAAUACAGAGGGGGCAAGCGUUGUUCGGAAUCAUUGGGCGUAAAGCGAAUGUAGGCGGCCGGAUCAGUCAGAGGUGAAAGCCCGGGGCUUAACCUCGGAAGUGCCUUUGAUACUAUCCGGCUUGAGUACGAGAGAGGAAAGUGGAAUUCCAAGUGUAGCGGUGAAAUGCGUAGAUAUUUGGAAGAACAUCGGUGGCGAAGGCGGCUUUCUGGCUCGUUACUGACGCUGAGAUUCGAAAGCUAGGGGAGCAAACGGGAUUAGAUACCCCGGUAGUCCUAGCCGUAAACGAUGGACACUAGGUGCAGGGAGUAUUGACCCUUUCUGUGCCAAAGCUAACGCAUUAAGUGUCCCGCCCGGGGAGUACGGUCGCAAGGCUG
This 377-nucleotide ribosomal RNA is filed under the name uncultured delta proteobacterium. Its description in RNAcentral is "bacterial SSU rRNA". It matches the Rfam family "Bacterial small subunit ribosomal RNA", at positions 521 to 896 of the family's 1533-position model. The record is from RNAcentral. Lineage: Bacteria; Deltaproteobacteria.